This 440-nucleotide ribosomal RNA is filed under the name uncultured bacterium. RNAcentral describes it as "partial 16S ribosomal RNA". It matches the Rfam family "Bacterial small subunit ribosomal RNA", at positions 339 to 795 of the family's 1533-position model. The record is from RNAcentral.
CUACGGGCCGCUGCAGUGAGGAAUAUUGCACAAUGGGGGGAACCCUGAUGCAGCAACGCCGCGUGGAGGAUGACGCAUUUCGGUGUGUAAACUCCUUUUAUAUGUCAAGAAAAUGACGGUAGCAUAUGAAUAAGCACCGGCUAACUCCGUGCCAGCAGCCGCGGUAAUAGCGGAGGGUGCAAGCGUUACUCGGAAUCACUGGGCGUAAAGGACGCGUAGGCGGGUUGGAAAGUCAGGUGUGAAAUCCUACAGCUUAACUGUAGAACUGCACUUGAAACUUCUAAUCUAGAGUAUGGGAGGGGGAGAUGGAAUUAGUGGUGUAGGGGUAAAAUCCGUAGAUAUCACUAGGAAUACCUAAGGCGAAGGCGAUCUCCUGGAACAUUACUGACGCUAAGGCGUGAAAGCGUGGGGAGCAAACAGGAUUAGAUACCCGAGUAGUC